Small nucleolar RNA from Cynoglossus semilaevis (tongue sole), 68 nucleotides. Ensembl annotates it as small nucleolar RNA SNORD37. Lineage: Eukaryota; Metazoa; Chordata; Actinopteri; Pleuronectiformes; Cynoglossidae. The record is from Ensembl.
GCAAAUGAUGAUUUAAUACUUCUUCACUUUGACCUGAUUCACUAGUGAUGAGUACUUUCAAUCUGAGU